Long non-coding RNA from Cyprinus carpio (common carp), 699 nucleotides. RefSeq lists it as uncharacterized. NCBI's taxonomy places the organism in Eukaryota, Metazoa, Chordata, Actinopteri, Cypriniformes, Cyprinidae. The record is from RefSeq and is a predicted model, not a curated record.
UCGAGAACGAGGGGAUGUUGUGGCGUCGCGAGGAAAUUUUGACAUGUUGUUGUUGUGAGGGCUCCAUGGUGAGAGCAAUCAGCUCACGGAAACUUUUGAGCGUGGGUGAGAAGUUUGGCUGGAAUUCCACUGCAGAUGAUCCAAAUUAAAUGUGGACUCUCCAUCCCUCCUUGAAGACAGGGCAGUGGAAACACAUCUCUGGACUUCUGAAUAUGAUGGCAGGCAGCUGGUGAUUCUCAAGAGAAGGGAAACACAGAUGUCACCUAACAAUGGAGGAGCAGACAGGCGGCAACACACACCCUGUGUUCUCCUCUGGGAGUUUUCAUGGCUAGGACUCUCCGGGGAUGUAGACGCUGAAUCCUGCCAUGUUUCACAUUCACUCGUGUCCUUGAGGGCUCAUCAUUUCAGUAAAGUUUAAUGAAGUCUUUACAGUCACAGGGAAUACGUUGUCGCUCAUCUGCUCCCAAGUUCAGUGGAAAAUAUUUUCUGGAAAAUAUUUACUUUGUAUUAAGUUGACAGCAAAUUUUUUCCAGCUAUGAGUAGAGUGAUGUAUGAACCUGAACAGAAACAACAUACUGCCUUAAAGCAAUAGUUCACCCAAAAAUGAAAAUUUGCUGGAAAUGUACUCACACUCAGGCCAUCCGAGAUGUAAGUGAUUUGGAGAAAUUUAGCAUUCCAUUUCUUGCUCACCAAUGGAUC